Cucurbita pepo subsp. pepo (vegetable marrow) is the source of this 1012-nucleotide long non-coding RNA. RefSeq lists it as uncharacterized. The record is from RefSeq and is a predicted model, not a curated record. NCBI's taxonomy places the organism in Eukaryota, Viridiplantae, Streptophyta, Magnoliopsida, Cucurbitales, Cucurbitaceae.
UGCUCCGACCAGCUGAUUGAAACUAAUUCUAAACCUUAAAAGUGACCGGCAUUCAGCAAAACUCGCCGGAAUUUCUCCGGAAAGGCUGUUUUGAAGAACAAGAAAGUAGAGCAAUUCCCCUCCUCUGCAUAUAUCCAAUGGCAAUGCCCCCGACAGGCGAUUCUCCGACAAGUCGACGACGACCAUAGGUUCUUGAGCAAGGAGAUUUCUUUUGGAAUCUCUCCCUUGAGAAAGUUCCCACUUAGUUCGAGAUCAAUAAGCGACGUCAUAUUCCCGAUCGAUCGAGGGAUUUCUCCAUCCAACAUACAUGUUGUCAACACCAUAGAUUUCAGCUUCUUCAAUCUAGAGAUCUUCUCAGGAGAGUUCGAGUACACGGAGUUGUUUCAUUUGCGAUAAGUCCGGGAUUGUUCCAUUGAGAUAUAGAGAACUCAAGUCAAGCUCUUGAAUGAGAGAGCAGUUGGUGAUUCCUGAGGGAAAACGCCCCGACAAUCCGGUAUCAGCGAGGCGAAGAACUCUGAGUGAUGGCAGGUAAGAGCAUACAUCGUCCGGGAAGGUACCGGAGAGAGGGUGGCCGGAGAUAUCGAUCCGAACGACGUGACCACGGUCAUUGCAGCGGAUUCCAGUGAAGUUGCAGAAGGAUUUUCCUUGUGAAAGAUCCCAAUUGGAGAGGAGGUCACCUGAGGCAGUUGUUUGCAUGAGAAGGAAGAACUGGGACUGGUUGGCUAUGGCGGCAGUAAGAGCUUGAGAAGAAGCCAUGGAGGAAGUGAAGAACAGAAGAAGAAAGAAGGCUGAGUGGAAAGCCAUGGCUGAUAAUGGAGAAGGAAGGUGAGAGGAAAACUUAAAUAAAAAGGAAAAGGUGCAAAGAAAAGUAGUAGAUGAUACACAUAGCUUUGUAUAAAGAAACUUUAUGUUUAUACUCCCCCACUAUCUGUUGCUGUUGCUGUGGAGAAUCUAUGAACCCGGGUAUCAGUCCAGCUCAUCGUUAGUAGAUAUUGUCUCUUUUGACUUGUUA